GAGAGAAAGAAGGGCAGGGAGAAAGAUCAAGUGACAAAUUUUGAUGUUAGUGAAAUAACCCACAAGAAAAAAAGAAAGAGAAUGAAUGUCCAACAAAUUGAGACAAAAAGACUCUAUCUUUCAUGGAGACACAUCUUUUAUGUAGCGGCAUGAGAUGACUCUUACUGUUAUAUUACUGUGUUUUUAGGAAGUGAAACCAAUUUGUUGAUCAUUGUGUACCAGGGGAUAAAAUGGGCUGUCCAUAUGGCUCUACCAACAAAAUGCCAAUGUCAAUA
This 275-nucleotide unclassified non-coding RNA is filed under the name Hevea brasiliensis (rubber tree). Lineage: Eukaryota; Viridiplantae; Streptophyta; Magnoliopsida; Malpighiales; Euphorbiaceae. The record is from RNAcentral.